RNAcentral lists this ribosomal RNA (254 nucleotides) under uncultured bacterium. Its description in RNAcentral is "partial 16S ribosomal RNA". It matches the Rfam family "Bacterial small subunit ribosomal RNA", at positions 524 to 776 of the family's 1533-position model. The record is from RNAcentral.
UACGGAGGGUGCGAGCGUUGUCCGGAAUCAUUGGGCGUAAAGGGCGCGUAGGUGGCCCGGUCAGUUCGUGGUGAAAGCGCGGGGCUCAACCCUGCGUCGGCCAUGAAUACUGCCGCGGCUGGAGCACUGUAGAGGCAGGCGGAAUUCCGGGUGUAGCGGUGAAAUGCGUAGAGAUCGGGAAGAACAUCGGUGGCGAAAGCGCUCUGCUGGACUGCAACUGACACUCAGGGACGAAAGCUAGGGGAGCGAAUGGG